AAAGGAAAGAAUUGCCAGACCCUUAUCAGCCCACCUGUCUCACUGUAACUGUUACAAUCUUCCUAAGGCCCGCCCCACCCCAACAGGCCUACUCCUCCCUGCCCCCUAUUAGGAAAGGUAUGUGGCCCACUCCCCUCCUCCCCUCAGUCAGCCUGGCCUGCUCCUUCCUGCCCCACUACUAGAAAAGGUUUGUAGCCCACUCCUUACCCCGCCCCUAUGGGGCAACAUAUGCCCCCAACCAACCAGCAAGUGUAUCGGAAGACUCCAUCCCUCCCCAGCCAAUCAGCAGGUGUAUGGCAAGACCACGCCUCCACUCCUUUGUCUCUGGGCUAUAGAAACAGACACGCCCUUGUGCCCUGGUUAUCUGGAUGCUGGUCCACUGUGUGAACAGUGUCUCUGUCCUCAAUAAACGUGUCUUUUCUACAUCUUGGUUUAAAUCCGGAAAAUACUUUUUCCACCCAUAUGCAGAGCCCACAACAGCCAGGACCAGACCGCACGCCCCUAACUCCCAGCCCAGGGCUUGGUACUCUGCGCCUCUGCCCCCCAGAGGGUUGGGAGCUCCAGGCAGCCCGAGGAAAGGCUUCCAGAGGCAGGGAUUGCCUGGCACUCAGACCCCGGGCAGUCCUUUGGCAGGUGACACAGAUGGGUGGUGCUAAGUGCUGUCCCAGGAAAGGACCUGCCUACUUUAUAAUCUGGGGUGACUGCUCUGAUUGGGCUCCACUUCUAGCCGCAGACCUGGGGAGGAGAGGGCGACCUGAUAAAGGCUAUCUCAUGGAACUGCCCUGUGGAACCGGAUGUAGGAAUCAGGCCCAGUUACAGGAAACAUAUGCUCUCUGAGACCUGGUCAAACAUCCACCAAGGACCAUUUUAUGCCAAGCCUUGUGUUACUUCUGGGUCCACAGAAGCAAAUAAGAUAUACUUCCUAUCUGUCCUCAGGCAGCUCCCAGCUUGGGCAGAGGAAGCAGUAAGUAAAUGGAUAAUUAAAACCUAGUGUGUAAGUGCUACGAGAGAGAGAAACGCACGAUGCUCUGGGAAUACAAAGGUUGGGGCAUCUAACCAGACCAGACUAGAGGGUCAAGGAAGACGUUUUGGAAGAGGUGACUUAAAAGUGAGUCUUUUUCUUCCAUUUUUGAAAAAAAAAAAAUCGUGCAGGUGAUAUAUGUGUUAGAAAUACAGAGAAGUGAAAGGAAACAACGGUUGAAAUCCUUCUGCCCAGAUGUAGCCCUUACUUAUACUUUGCUAUAAUGCCUUUUAAAUCUCAUUCUCUCUCUGAGACAUAUGUCUAUUUACACACACAUCAGACAGCCCUAACACACACACAAACAUGACACAAAAAUCCAGUGCAAUUCUGCUGUAAUAGCACUCUGUAAUUUGCUCUUCCUCAUUUAGUAUAUUUUAAAUCAGUAAAUAGAAACCUGUAAACACUCUUCAAUGACCUUCUGGGAAUUGUUCAACAUAUGAUGAUCAUAUUUUAUUCAGUCUUUUACAUUACACAUUUAUUUCCAAUAUUUAAUGACUAUAAACAAUGUUGCAAAGAAGAACUUUUAAGCCCAUCUUGGUGCAUUUUCCCAGUUAUUAUUUUGUGGUUAUCAGAGAAAACUGAUCAAUUUACCUUUCUUUUUUUUUUUUUGUCUUUUGUCUUUUUUGUUGUUAUUAUUGCUAUUUCUUGGGCCGCUCCCGCGGCAUAUGGAGGUUCCCAGGCUAGGGGUUGAAUCGGAGCUGUAGCCACUGGCCUACGCCAGAGCCACAGCAACGCGGGAUCCGAGCCGUGUCUGCAACCUACACCACAGCUCAUGGCAACGCCGGAUCGUUAACCCACUGAGCAAGGCCAGGGAUCGAACCCGCAACCUCAUGGUUCCUAGUCGGAUUCGUUAACCACUGCGCCAUGACGGGAACUCCCCAAUUUACCUUUCAUUCUGUAUCUCUAGAGCUAACAGUGGGUAUUUUUAUUCUUUUUAAAAAAUUUGAGGAGUUCCCGUCGUGGCGCAGUGGUUAACGAAUCCGACUAGGAACCAUGAGGUUGCGGGUUCGAUCCCUGGCCUUGCUCAGUGGGUUAACGAUCCGGCGUUGCCAUGAGCUGUGGUGUAGGUUGCAGACACGGCUCGGAUCCCGCGUUGCUGUGGCUCUGGCGUAGGCCGGUGGCUACAGCUCCGAUUCAACCCCUAGCCUGGGAACCUCCAUAUGCCGCAGAAGAGGCCCAAGAGAUAGCAACAACAACAACAAAAGACAAAAAGACUAAAAAAAAAAAAAAAAAAAAAAAAAUUGAUAGGUGAAAAAUGGCAUCCUAUCUAGUUGUGUUUGCAUUUUAGAUGACUAAUUUUUUCAUAAUUACUGGCCAUGUAUAUUUCUUUUUCUUUUUCUUUUUUUUUUUUUUUAGUCUUUUUGUCUUUUGUUGUUGUUGUUGCUAUCUCUUGGGCCUCUUCUGCGGCAUAUGGAGGUUCCCAGGCUAGGGGUUGAAUCGGAGCUGUAGCCACCGGCCUACGCCAGAGCCACAGCAACGCGGGAUCCGAGCCACGUCUGCAACCUACACCACAGCUCACGGCAACACCAGAUCGUUAACCCACUGAGCAAGGCCAGGGAUCGAACCCGCCACCUCAUGGUUCCUAGUCGGAUUCGUUAACCACUGCGCCACGACGGGAACUCCUCUUUUUCUUUUUUUAUAUAAUGAUUUUUAUUUUUUCAUUAUAGCUGCUUUAUAGUGUUCUGUCAAUUUUCUACUGUACAGCAUGGUGACCCAGUUAUACAUACAUACAUAUAGAUUCUUACUUCUUCUAUUUAUUUAUUUAUUUAUUUAUUUAUUUAUUUAUUUAUUUUGUUUUUUUGCUAUUUCUUUGGGCUGCUCCCACGGCAUAUGGAGCUUCCCA
Molecule: long non-coding RNA, 2864 nt
Filed under: Sus scrofa (pig)
Lineage: Eukaryota; Metazoa; Chordata; Mammalia; Artiodactyla; Suidae
Description: lncRNA (ENSSSCG00060037937.1)
Source: RNAcentral